CGGAGGGGGCUAGCGUUGUUCGGAAUUACUGGGCGUAAAGCGCACGUAGGCGGCUUUGUAAGUCAGGGGUGAAAGCCUGGAGCUCAACUCCAGAACUGCCUUUGAGACUGCAUCGCUUGAAUCCGGGAGAGGUAAGUGGAAUUCCGAGUGUAGAGGUGAAAUUCGUAGAUAUUCGGAAGAACACCAGUGGCGAAGGCGGCUUACUGGACCGGAAUUGACGCUGAGGUGCGAAAGCGUGGGGAGCAAACAGGAUU
RNAcentral lists this ribosomal RNA (254 nucleotides) under uncultured bacterium. RNAcentral's name for it is "partial 16S ribosomal RNA". It matches the Rfam family "Bacterial small subunit ribosomal RNA", at positions 526 to 779 of the family's 1533-position model. The record is from RNAcentral.